RNAcentral lists this long non-coding RNA (533 nucleotides) under Rosa chinensis. Its description in RNAcentral is "sRNA RchiOBHm_Chr2g0135231". Lineage: Eukaryota; Viridiplantae; Streptophyta; Magnoliopsida; Rosales; Rosaceae. The record is from RNAcentral.
CGACUCGCCGCCCCACUGAGUCGACUCGCCGCGGAAUCGGUGGUACCCGAGGAACUAGGAGUCCGGAGAAACGAACGGGUUGAAAUGGUGGAAAUUCGGGUUCAGCGUCGAGGUGACCGGAUGGAACGUCUUCGUGUCGACGUCGAAGACCUCCACGUGUCGGAAAUUCGUGUUGCGGCGGAGAGUGGCGACGAUUAUUCUUUUUCCGUCUGUGCAUGGCGGCCGGAGUGAAGCAGUGGAGACCCGAUGGAGUGACCCGGAGGGAGUCAACGGGGAUGCGGGGGACUCAAAAUCUUGGGGGAAAUCAAUUCGGAAAGUAGAUGAUGGAGUCGCCGGACGAGGCGGACAACCCGCCGCUCUCACAGACCACCACACGCUUUCCGGGUUGUGAAGCUCGGAAGACGACGAUGUCAGUAUUGAGCUGGUGAAACUCGUCGUCCCAGGGACGAGAGCCGUAAGAAGCGACGGCGACGAACUCGCCGAGAGAGAAACGGCCGGACUGUAAUCGACGGACCCGGGUGGAGUCAAUCGGG